AUAUGCUGUGAAUGAAUAUAAAUUAUACAUGAAAGCUGUGAGAUUAAAGAUUCAAUGAAAUAGUUCAAACAAACGCUUAGCAUUACGCUCAAGUCACUCUCAAGGUAUAAUAAGGAUAAUAAUGUUAAUAUUAAUUUUCAUCUUACCUUGCUUUUAAUAACAUUUAAUAACCUUUCCUUUUGACAUGUUAUCAAUUUAAUAUCACAAUUGUACUUCAAUAAAAAAAACUCCCCAUCAAUUUAACCUUUCAAACAAAAACAGUAAACAUUAUUUAAAAACAGUUCAAUGUUUAAACAUUUAAAUUGUUUGCAAGUUUAAUUUACAUUUGUGUUAAUUUGUUGGCAGUUUCAUUGGUUUACACUUGAAUUGUCAUUUAUUCAUCAUCUUGCAUUAUCAAUCAAUUGGUCAGUCAAUCCUCUCAAUCAGCUUAAAUCUUGUUUUAACAUUUUGUUUCAAUUUUACUUUCCAUCAAUUGUAAUAAAUGUACUUCUCAUUUUUACAUUUGUAUUCAAAAGCAGUUUCAGUUGAAAUUGUCUUUUCCUUUUCAAUCAUUUCAAUUGGAUUUAUUGUUCAUCAGCUUAUUACCAUGAUUAAAGAGAUUAUUUGAGGAAAUUUAAUUCAAAUUUUUGUUCCAUUUUUCAUGUAUUUUGUCACUUUUUUAAACUCAAGUCUCCACUGUUGCUCUGUAUUUUAACGUCUUUCAAUGGCAAUUGUUGCUCACAUCGUUUUUAUCAUCGGAUUAUCCGAAAUUUUUCGACCAAAUUUAGCGGCCUUACAUUUUCUAACCAUUAUUUGGGUCACUGUCGUCUUCAGGUCAAGUCUUUCACUUUCAACUGUCAUUUGUCCAUCUUCAUGUCAUUCCUUCCUUUGCUUCCCUUGCGGAUGUUUAUCAUUGAAUGUAACAUUAAACCAUAAAACUGUUUUCACCUUUCAUCAAUUAUUGCAUUUGCCGUCAUUUAAUUGUUUAACACUCAAUGCAAUAAAAUGCUUUAUCAUAUUGAUUUAUACACAACUGAUGUACUGAUCCAAGAUGAUGAUUGAGGUUACCAAAUGUAAAGAUUGUCAGUUUAGUUUGUAUGCAAUGUCAAUUGCUCUUGAAACAAAAGAGACUCUCUUAGUUGACAUUUUGAUCUCACUUUACAUUAAAGUUAAUUAUCAUUCAACUUUACUUCAUAUCUAAAUAUGAAAAUGAAUUUUGCUUCAGCUUUUUUGCUUCUUCUGUUUUCUGGGCAAAAAUCACUUUAUUCAAUCUUUUUACAUGACAAAAAGUACCAUUUUGUAUCCUCUUUUCAUAGCUUUCAUGUUGAUGGUGAUGAAGAUGAUUAGUUUAAUGGUUUAACGGUACACUGUUAAUGGUUUAUUGUUUUGAUAGUUUCCUGGUUAAAAAUUUUGAAAGAAAACAAUCAAAUUUCCGUUUCAAAAGAUAAUUAUAAUGAGUAACGAGAUGAUAUAA
This is a long non-coding RNA of Tetranychus urticae (two-spotted spider mite), 1453 nucleotides long. RefSeq lists it as uncharacterized. NCBI's taxonomy places the organism in Eukaryota, Metazoa, Arthropoda, Arachnida, Trombidiformes, Tetranychidae. The record is from RefSeq and is a predicted model, not a curated record.